GGCGAACGGGUGAGUAACACGUGGGUAAUCUGCCCUGCACUCUGGGAUAAGCCUUGGAAACGAGGUCUAAUACCGGAUACGACACCGGACCGCAUGGUCUGGUGUGGAAAGUUCCGGCGGUGCAGGAUGAGCCCGCGGCCUAUCAGCUUGUUGGUGGGGUGAUGGCCUACCAAGGCGACGACGGGUAGCCGGCCUGAGAGGGUGACCGGCCACACUGGGACUGAAACACGGCCCAGACUCCUACGGGAGGCAGCAGUGGGGAAUCUUGCGCAAUGGGCGAAAGCCUGACGCAGCAACGCCGCGUGGGGGAUGACGGCCUUCGGGUUGUAAACCUCUUUCGACAUCGACGAAGCCUUCGGGUGACGGUAGGUGUAGAAGAAGCACCGGCUAACUACGUGCCAGCAGCCGCGGUAAUACGUAGGGUGCAAGCGUUGUCCGGAUUUAUUGGGCGUAAAGAGCUCGUAGGCGGUUUGUCGCGUCGCUCGUGAAAACUGGAGGCUUAACCUUCAGCUUGCGGUCGAUACG
This 525-nucleotide ribosomal RNA is filed under the name Saccharopolyspora taberi. RNAcentral's name for it is "bacterial SSU rRNA". It matches the Rfam family "Bacterial small subunit ribosomal RNA", at positions 97 to 634 of the family's 1533-position model. The record is from RNAcentral. Lineage: Bacteria; Bacillati; Actinomycetota; Actinomycetes; Pseudonocardiales; Pseudonocardiaceae.